This 88-nucleotide transfer RNA is filed under the name Streptomyces toxytricini. RNAcentral describes it as "tRNA-Gly". Lineage: Bacteria; Bacillati; Actinomycetota; Actinomycetes; Kitasatosporales; Streptomycetaceae. The record is from RNAcentral.
GUCACCCUGGAGGACGGACCGCCGCUCGACGUCACCGUCGUCGACCGGGAGCAGCAGGCGCACGGGUUCUUCUACCGGGUGUGGCGCC